UAUAUAUAUAUAGAUAUAUAGAGCUAGGCUCCUAUGCUUUCGAAAGUACGGGGGCCUUCGUACUUGUAAGUUGUUUUCGAUGAUGGGACGUCUGAUUCGGUGAUCGGUUUAGUUAGACAUGAUCUACGCUAUUAGAACUAUCUAGAAACCAAAUUUCAUAAUUUUUUGACUUUGUUUGCUUAGUGAACGAGUAGUCUCAAAAUGAAUGACUGAAAAUAAAAAUCUCAUAAAAAAUAAUGGUAAAGGACUCAAAUUUUAAAUCGGAAGUAUUGAUCUUGCUAUUGAAGUUAAGUAGAAUUUUUUUAAAAAUUUUCAUAUAAUUUGGAUACUUCUACUCCGUUGAACUUAAAAACGUGCCGCAUCGGCCGUUAAAAUAGUCAUUUUUGGGACCUUUUGAUGGCUUAAUAAAUAAUGUCAAAAAAUUAUAAAAUUUGAUUUCUAAAUAGUUCCAAUAGGGUAGAUUAUACCUAACGGAGCCGAUCGUCGAAUCGGAUGUCCUAUUAUCGAAAAUAACUUACAAGCAUGGAGG
This 529-nucleotide long non-coding RNA is filed under the name Ananas comosus (pineapple). RNAcentral describes it as "long non-coding RNA (ACOM_LNC015599)". Lineage: Eukaryota; Viridiplantae; Streptophyta; Magnoliopsida; Poales; Bromeliaceae. The record is from RNAcentral.